Molecule: non-coding RNA, 105 nt
Organism: Acanthosepion pharaonis
Lineage: Eukaryota; Metazoa; Mollusca; Cephalopoda; Sepiida; Sepiidae
Source: the annotation of a GenBank genome assembly
UUACAGCCAUAUCACGUACAAACACCAGUUCUCUUGGGAUCACGGAAGUUAAGCAAGCGCCUGGUCAGUAACUAGAUAUGUGAUGGCUUGGGAAUACCAGGUGCU